CAAAACAUAGCUUAUCUAAAGCCUCUUGCUUACACCAAGAAAAUGUCCCUUUACCGGGACUGUUUUGAAA
This 70-nucleotide transfer RNA is filed under the name Eleutherodactylus griphus (Trelawny Parish robber frog). RNAcentral describes it as "tRNA-Val". Lineage: Eukaryota; Metazoa; Chordata; Amphibia; Anura; Eleutherodactylidae. The record is from RNAcentral.